RNAcentral lists this transfer RNA (58 nucleotides) under Salmo trutta (river trout). It matches the Rfam family "tRNA", at positions 8 to 63 of the family's 71-position model. Rfam says of the family: Transfer RNA (tRNA) molecules are approximately 80 nucleotides in length. Lineage: Eukaryota; Metazoa; Chordata; Actinopteri; Salmoniformes; Salmonidae. The record is from Rfam by way of RNAcentral.
UGGCUCUGUUGGUAGAGCAUGGUGUUUGCAACGCCAGGGUUGUGGGUUCAAUUCCCAC